RNAcentral lists this ribosomal RNA (279 nucleotides) under uncultured bacterium. RNAcentral describes it as "partial 16S ribosomal RNA". It matches the Rfam family "Bacterial small subunit ribosomal RNA", at positions 506 to 784 of the family's 1533-position model. The record is from RNAcentral.
UGCCAGCCGCCGCGGUAAUACGGAGGGUGCAAGCGUUGUUCGGAAUUAUUGGGCGUAAAGCGCGUGUAGGCGGUUCGUUAAGUCUGAUGUGAAAGCCCGGGGCUCAACCCCGGAAGUGCAUUUGAAACUGUGUGGCUCGAAUAUAGGUGAGGUAGGCGGAAUGUGCGGUGUAGCGGUGAAAUGCAUAGAUAUUACACAGAACACCAAUUGCGAAGGCAGCUUACCAAACUAUUAUUGACGCUGAAGCACGAAAGCGUGGGUAGCGAACAGGAUUAGAUA